RNAcentral lists this non-coding RNA (28 nucleotides) under Homo sapiens (human). The record is from RNAcentral. Lineage: Eukaryota; Metazoa; Chordata; Mammalia; Primates; Hominidae.
UCUACAUUUUGUGGAGGUUACAGAAGGA